Non-coding RNA from Doryrhamphus excisus (bluestripe pipefish), 731 nucleotides. The record is from RefSeq and is a predicted model, not a curated record. Lineage: Eukaryota; Metazoa; Chordata; Actinopteri; Syngnathiformes; Syngnathidae.
GGAAGAGUCGUAACGGCCGACGUAGCAUUGCUGGGCGUCUUGCUAUCGAGACACAAAAUAGCAUAAAAGGGAAAACAAGUUGCAAAAAGUUUGUUUGGCUAUGGAUACACUCGACGAGGUUACGAUUGACACUCUAAAAGCUGCUAGUAUUGGAGAAGACUUACUAAGGUCACUCUCCAGGGAUGACAUCAAAGAUUUGUUUCCUGGUCCAGAAAACUUUCUGAGACGGCGGGCACUGUGGCUUCUUGUGAGUGGUGAACAGGUUCAGGCUUCUGUCAGUGAUGUGGACUCGACUAAAUCUUCAUAUACUGCAACCACCGGCCCUCCAGCAGAGGAACAAAACGUCUCAAUAUUUUUGACCAUGUCCAGCCCAGAGUACAUUGUCUAUACAGACAGUGAACUUGAGCAGGCACGUUCAUCCCAUUUUGAACAAAAACGUCUUGGGGCAACACAAACUGCACUAUCCAAGGAGCUCCUCUGCAGACUCAUAAGGAACACUAUGACCAACAUGAUCUCAAUUGCAAGAGCCCUACGGGACCCUAGGUACCCCAGCAGACAUGAGGUCGAUUCCAUGGCUAGGCGAUUGGUGGAGUACUACCCUAUGUUGAAGGACAACUCCUCAGGUGACAAGUGGGUAUGUAAACUUUCUGGUACAAUAUUUAUUCCAUGCAGUAGACUAUAGUUUUUGUUUCCAACAACUGUUGCAGGCACACAUCGCUAAGAAACUCAUG